RNAcentral lists this non-coding RNA (48 nucleotides) under Pediococcus cellicola. RNAcentral's name for it is "Na+-I sequence". It matches the Rfam family "Na+ riboswitch aptamer (DUF1646)". Rfam says of the family: Proteobacteria, NC10, Acidobacteria, Verrucomicrobia. Lineage (Clostridia) The riboswitch of Na+ was first reported in a comparative analysis of intergenic regions and called DUF1646 RNA, it was also suggested that it acts as cis-reg RNA present upstream of Na+ genes. Afterward it was reported as a riboswitch that selectively senses Na+. The record is from Rfam by way of RNAcentral. Lineage: Bacteria; Bacillati; Bacillota; Bacilli; Lactobacillales; Lactobacillaceae.
GGUUGGGCGCAAGCUUCAAGGUUUUUCCUUUCUCAGGGGUGUGAGAAA